This is an unclassified non-coding RNA of Fukomys damarensis (Damara mole-rat), 262 nucleotides long. Its record names the gene 7SK. It matches the Rfam family "7SK RNA". Rfam says of the family: 7SK was discovered as an abundant small nuclear RNA in the mid-70s but a possible function has only recently been suggested. Two independent studies have found that 7SK RNA binds the CDK9/cyclin T complex (known as elongation factor P-TEFb). Lineage: Eukaryota; Metazoa; Chordata; Mammalia; Rodentia; Bathyergidae. The record is from Ensembl.
GGAUGGCAGGCCAUCUGACUGGAACAUCUGUCCUCUCCUAGAUCGCCAGGUUAAUUUUUCUGAUCUGGCUGUCUAGGUGAGUGUUGCUUCCUCCCUUACUGCUCUGUGCUUAGUGGGAUAGAGGAAGACAAUUUCCUUGGUUAAGGAUAUAUGAGUAGCUGGACUCCCCUGAUAGAACCUGCCCAAGCUCUCAGGGUCAUUGGGAAGGGCUAAAGAGCUCAGUGUGUAGUUAUUUGUCUAGCAUUCCCAAAGCCCUGAGUUU